Molecule: ribosomal RNA, 468 nt
Filed under: uncultured bacterium
Lineage: Bacteria
Description: partial 16S ribosomal RNA
Rfam family: Bacterial small subunit ribosomal RNA
Source: RNAcentral
GACGAACGCUGGCGGCGCGCCUAACACAUGCAAGUCGAACGGAGCUGAGAGAAGCUUGCUUUUCUUAGCUUAGUGGCGAACGGGUGAGUAACGCGUGAGUAACCUGCCCUGGAGUGGGGGACAACAGUUGGAAACGACUGCUAAUACCGCAUAAGCCCACGAUCCGGCAUCGGAUUGAGGGAAAAGGAUUUAUUCGCUUCAGGAUGGACUCGCGUCCAAUUAGCUAGUUGGUGAGGUAACGGCCCACCAAGGCGACGAUUGGUAGCCGGACUGAGGGGUUGAACGGCCACAUUGGGACUGAGACACGGCCCAGACUCCUACGGGAGGCAGCAGUGGGGGAUAUUGCACAAUGGGGGAAACCCUGAUGCAGCGACGCCGCGUGGAGGAAGAAGGUUUUCGGAUUGUAAACUCCUGUCGUUAGGGACGAUAAUGACGGUACCUAACAAGAAAGCACCGGCUAACUACGUG